CCCGCACAAGCGGUGGAGCAUGUGGUUUAAUUCGAUGCAACGCGAAGAACCUUACCUGGGCUUGACAUCCCUGGAAUCCCCUGGAAACAGGGGAGUGCCCUUCGGGGAGCCAGGAGACAGGUGCUGCAUGGCUGUCGUCAGCUCGUGACGUGAGAUGUUGGGUUAAGUCCCGCAACGAGCGCAACCCUUGUCUUUAAUUGCCAUCAUUCAGUUGGGCACUUUAAAGAGACUGCCGGUGUUAAACCGGAGGAAGGUGGGAUGACGUCAAGUCCUCAUGGCCUUUAUGCCCAGGGCUACACACGUGCUACAAUGGGUGGUACAAAGAGAUGCAAUCUCGCAAGAGCAAGCAAACCUCAAAAAGCCAUCCUCAGUUCGGAUUGGAGUCUGCAACUCGACUCCAUGAAGUCGGAAUCGCUAGUAAUCGCGGAUCAGCACGCCGCGGUGAAUACGUUCCCGGGCCUU
Molecule: ribosomal RNA, 462 nt
Filed under: uncultured Syntrophus sp.
Lineage: Bacteria; Pseudomonadati; Thermodesulfobacteriota; Syntrophia; Syntrophales; Syntrophaceae
Description: bacterial SSU rRNA
Rfam family: Bacterial small subunit ribosomal RNA
Source: RNAcentral